RNAcentral lists this ribosomal RNA (1296 nucleotides) under Leptotyphlops nigroterminus. RNAcentral describes it as "partial 16S ribosomal RNA". It matches the Rfam family "Archaeal large subunit ribosomal RNA", at positions 427 to 2664 of the family's 2987-position model. Lineage: Eukaryota; Metazoa; Chordata; Lepidosauria; Squamata; Leptotyphlopidae. The record is from RNAcentral.
GCCGCAAACCUAGUUGUUAAGAUCGUCCCGUAGUAAAAAUCAAACAAAACAUUUGGAUUGGCCAGUAGUGGGGAAAGAAAACAAGCACAAAACACUAUAGAGGAAGUACCGCAAGGGAACGGAAAUUAAAGCAAUAAAAAGCAAAGAUAAAACCUUGUACCUUUCGCAUCAUGGUUUAGCAAGACACGCCGGGCAAGGAGGCCCCAAGCCCGAAAACCCGAAACCAAGUGAGCUACCCCCCGACAGGAAACGAACCCUUCUCUGUGGCAAAAGAGUGGGAAGAUUGGCGGGUAGUGGUGAAAAGCCUAUCGAACUUGGCGAUAGCUGGUUGCCCAAAGCUGAAUUUAAGUUCUACCCUGAGCGCCGCCCAAUACCAAAUGGGGCACAGGAGCACUCAUUAGAGGAACAGCCCUAAUGAGAGGGGACACAACCCCCGCCUGAGAGUAAGCGAAAACAUUUUUCAGUAGGCCUUAAAGCAGCCACCCAUAAAAACAGCGUCAAAGCGUCAAACCACCAAUUCACAACAUAUUUACCACCUCCAGCAAGAAUCAGGGCAACUCUACCCCCGUAGAAAAACUAAUGCUAAAACUACUAAUAAGGAGCCUUCCCCUCUUAAGCACACCCAUCGGUUGGAAACGGACUAACCACCAACAAUUAUCACAACAAAGAAAACUCAGACCACAAACCUUUUAUACACUGUGACACCAACACAGGUGUGCCCUAAAGAAAGAUGCAAAGCCAUAGAAGGAACUCGGCAACCACUGACCCCAACUGUUUACCAAAAACAUAACCUUUAGCCCACCAAAUAUUAAAGGCAUCGCCUGCCCAGUGAGAUCGUCUUUUAAACGGCCGCGGUACCNUAACCGUGCAAAGGUAGCAUAAUCACUUGUCUAUUAAUCAUAGAAUAGUAUGAAAGGCUGCAUGAGGGUCAAUCUGUCUCCUGUGGCCCAUCAAUGAAACUGAUCUUGCAGUCCAAAAGCUGUAAUAAUAACAUAAGACGAGAAGACCCUGUGAAACUUUCAACCACCUUUUUCCCAAGGAAAAAGUACUUUUAGUUGGGGCAACUUUGGAAAAAAAUAAAACUUCCAAACACCUAGAACACCCACUACAACAAGGCUAACACGCCCACCUUACGAUCCAGCCCACCUGAUAAAUGAACAAAGCUACUCCAGGGAUAACAGCGCCAUCUUCUUCAAGAGCCCAUAUCAAAAAGAAGGUUUACGACCUCGAUGUUGGAUCAGGGCACCCCAGUGGCGCAGCCACUACUAAAGGUUCGUUUGUUCAACGAUUAAUAGC